Molecule: unclassified non-coding RNA, 2067 nt
Filed under: Hevea brasiliensis (rubber tree)
Lineage: Eukaryota; Viridiplantae; Streptophyta; Magnoliopsida; Malpighiales; Euphorbiaceae
Source: RNAcentral
CUAUGGCAAAUAAUGCUGCCUCUUGCGCCGAGAGGGCUACAAGUGACAUGUUGAUUGCCCCAGACUGGGCCAUAAACAUUGAGCUUUGUGAUAUAAUCAACAUGGAUCCUGGGCAAGCAAAGGAUGCCUUCAAAGUACUCAAGAAGCGACUAGGAAGCAAAAAUCCUAAGAUACAACUUCUUGCUCUUUUUGUCAGUAUUAUUUGCUUUUCAAACUUUGUCUACUUAUUUUUCUGAAUUUAACUUAAUCAACUGUGUAAAAUAACAUGCCACUGUGCAUUUUGUUUUGGCAUUCUGUAAAUUAUUUGGAACAAAAGUGCUAAGAUUAUGACCAUAAAAAAUAUGUAAAUAAAGAUGCAUUACAUAGUUGUUGUGGGCGCCUUUCUGUCUUGCUGUUUUACAUUAUAACAGAGAAGUAAUUUUCUCUUUAUCAUUGUGUUUGUGUGGGAAUAUUUUGAUUUAGGCAUUGGAGACUGUCAGCAAAAAUUGUGGUGAGAAUAUAUUUCAGCAGAUCAUUGACCGAGACAUCCUGCAUGAUAUGGUUAAAAUAGUGAAGAAGAAGCCAGAUUUGAAUGUGAGAGAAAAGAUACUUAUCUUGAUAGACACAUGGCAAGAAGCUUUUGGGGGACCAAGGGGAAGGUAUCCCCAGUACCAUGCUGCAUAUAAUGAACUAAGGGCUGCCGGAGUUGAGUUUCCACCCCGAGCGGAGAACAGUGUGCCGCUUUUUACUCCUCCCCAAACACAGCCAAUAGUUGAUGCACCUUCAGCAUAUGAAGAUGUUGCUAUUCAAGCCUCUCUGCAAUCUGAUGCUUCAGGUCUCAGCUUACCAGAGAUUCAAAAUGCUAGGGGACUAGCAGAUGUGUUAAUGGAAAUGCUUAGUGCCUUGGAUCCUAAGAACCCUGAGGGGUUGAAAGAAGAGGUGAUUGUUGACCUUGUUGACCAGUGCCGUUCUUACCAAAAGCGCGUCAUGCUUCUUGUGAAUAGCACAGCAGAUGAAGGUCUUCUGUGUCAGGGAUUGGCAUUGAAUGAUAACUUGCAGCGUGUACUUCGUCGGCAUGAUGAUAUCGUGAAAGGUAUCCCUACCGCAGCAGAAAGGGAAGCUGACACACCAGUUGUGCCACUUGUUGUUAUUAACCAUGAUGAAGAUGAGACAGAAGAUGACUUUGCCCAGCUGGCUCAUAGGUCAUCAAGAGAAAAUUCACAAGGACGUGCCAAGAAACCAGUCAGUGUUAGGACUGAACCAUCGCGACUGAGCCCUCUUCUUCCUCCUCCUCCUGCAUCAAAGAAGCCAGUCAGCACAGACUCUGGCACGAUUGAUUAUCUCAGUGGUGAUGUCUACAAGUCUUCUCAGAAUUCGGAGCCCACAUCCAAUACUGUUCCUCUUCAUUUCAGCACAAACUUCUCACCUCCACAUUCUCCAACUUUGUCUGCCUCAUCUCCUCCUUCUCAUGCUGUAAAUUCCUCACCUUUGUUCUCUGGGCAGCAGUUAUACGAUGAACCAGUUCCAUUAAGCAAAUCUGCUGAUCAGCUACCUCCAGCACCUUGGGAUACACCUUCUCGUGGAUUUCUUCCACCCCCUCCUUCCAGGUAUAAUCAGAGACAGCAAUUCUUUGAGGAACAUCAUGGACCUAUUGGCAGUGCAACUAAUUCAAGUAGUGGUUCUGGUUCCUCUUAUGAUAGCUUAGUUGGACAAACCCAGAAUAUGUCGCUUAAUUCAUCUACCUCCACCAAACAAGCAAAACCUGAAGACGCUCUCUUCAAAGAUCUGGUUGAUUUUGCAAAAGCCAAGUCGUCUUCAUCGUCCAAACCCAAUAGAUCAUUUUAGUCAGUAUAGUUUAUGUGUUGGUACAGCUUAUGGAUACUCCGAGAUUAUCAGGUUUUGCAUCAGACCAUGAGAUUGAUUGCCAGUUAAUAAAUGUCGGUUUAAACUUUUGAGUUAUGGCUUGUCUAUGCUGUGGCAGAAGUUUAUGUUCAUAUGAACUGCGUAUUGAAUUUAUUCGUACAUAUUUCUUAAGAAUGUGAUUGUGUAAUAUAUUGCUGUGCUAGAAUGAAUUCCCAUUCGUUGCUU